GUUAUCAUCUAUAGUAUAGGAGUUGGUAUCUCGGGGUAGUAUAAGGAGGAUGGGAGAGGGGAAGAAAAUACCAGACUAUGAGAGUUGUGAGCCGAAAUAAGCUUGGUGCUACUUCUUUUCUUUUGUUUGUUAUUUUCUUUGAAUAAGAAGAUUGAAUGUUUCUGAAUAUUGUAAAAUGAAUUAUGGAAUGGAAAUGUGAUUGCUAUUAUUUGAGAAGAAGAAAGAUUGAAUGCUGAAAUCUGAUUGUAGUUCAGUAGAGAGAAUGAGUCUAUGUUUGUAUGAAACACUGUAAUAUGAAUGGCAGUUCUGUGUGAAGAAUUCCAGUGAUUGGAACCAGGGUAAUUGUGUAUUGAAAGCUGUGAGGGCACAAUAUUUCAAUUGGAGAUUAUGAGGGUGAAUAUAUUGGUGGAAAUAGCAAUUAUUGGUAUGACUGAAUUACUGUAAGGAAGAGACCGAUAAGGUGAAGGAGGAGAUUAUAGUUUCCUUGUAUGUUCAGAUAUUGGAAAUAGAGAUGAUACAUUCAGGAGGUAAUUGAUUGUGUGAUCCUAACGUGAAUGCUUAAGCAACUAGUCAUUCUCCGUGUUCGAAUCCCUUUAUAUGGAUUUAUGGUGGGAGGUUUCUUUCGGAAUAAGUAAAACGAGCAAUCACAAUUUGGGACCGCUGCAGAGGAGUGAUAAUAGCUUUGAGUGUUAGGAAUUAAUUACCAAACGUGUGAAAAAAUUGACAAUGGAAGACGAUUUCAGUAGUGUUUUAAGAAAGAGUAUGGUUAUUAAGAAUGAGAAUUUAACACCAAAGAGAAUAAAGCAAUCAAAGAAAAGAACAGAGCGAUCGCAAGCAAGAAAUUUGUUGC
Molecule: long non-coding RNA, 850 nt
Filed under: Physcomitrium patens
Lineage: Eukaryota; Viridiplantae; Streptophyta; Bryopsida; Funariales; Funariaceae
Description: long non-coding RNA (PPAT_LNC013090)
Source: RNAcentral